This 466-nucleotide ribosomal RNA is filed under the name Phoma sp. Pr26. Its description in RNAcentral is "eukaryotic LSU rRNA". The stretch from base 139 to 293 matches the Rfam family "5.8S ribosomal RNA". Lineage: Eukaryota; Fungi; Ascomycota; Dothideomycetes; Pleosporales; Didymellaceae. The record is from RNAcentral.
UUUGUGGGCUUUGCCUGCUAUCUCUUACCCAUGUCUUUUGAGUACCUUCGUUUCCUCGGCGGGUCCGCCCGCCGAUCGGACAAAACUUUAAACCCUUUGCAGUUGCAAUCAGCGUCUGAAAAAAACUUUAAUAGUUACAACUUUCAACAACGGAUCUCUUGGUUCUGGCAUCGAUGAAGAACGCAGCGAAAUGCGAUAAGUAGUGUGAAUUGCAGAAUUCAGUGAAUCAUCGAAUCUUUGAACGCACAUUGCGCCCCUUGGUAUUCCAUGGGGCAUGCCUGUUCGAGCCGUCAUUUGUACCUUCAAGCUCUGCUUGGUGUUGGGUGUUUGUCUCGCCUCUUUUUGCGUGUAGACUCGCCUCAAAACAAUUGGCAGCCGGCGUAUUGAUUUCGGAGCGCAGACAUCUCGCGCUUUGCACUCAUAACGACGACGUCCAAAAGUACAUUUCUUACACUCUUGACCUCGG